This 691-nucleotide ribosomal RNA is filed under the name Thinophilus sp. 3 SNK-2009. Its description in RNAcentral is "partial 12S ribosomal RNA". The stretch from base 29 to 439 matches the Rfam family "Microsporidia small subunit ribosomal RNA", at positions 752 to 1303 of the family's 1311-position model. The record is from RNAcentral. Lineage: Eukaryota; Metazoa; Arthropoda; Insecta; Diptera; Dolichopodidae.
UUAUUUAAGAUGUAAUUUUAUAAUAUUAGAGUAGUAGUAGUUAAGUUCUUGAAACUCAAAAAAUUUGGCGGUAUUUUAGACUAUUCAGAGGAACCUGUGGCAUAAUUGAUAAUCCACGAUGAACCUUACUUAAACUGGAUAAUUUCAGUUUGUAUACCGCCGUUAUUUGAAAAUUUUUUUAGAAUAAUAAUUUUCAUAAAUUUUUAUUUGAAAAUAAAUCAGGUCAAGGUGCAGCUUAUGUUUAAGUGUUUCAUGGGUUACAUUAAAUAUAUUUACACGGAUUAAAGUAUGAAAUAUUUUUAUGAAGGCGGAUUUGAAAGUAAAUUUUUAAAGAUUAAAGAAUUGACUUUAGCUCUAAAAUAUGCACACAUCGCCCGUCACUCUUGUUAAUAAUAUAAGAUAAGUCGUAACAUAGUAGAUGUACCGGAAGGUGUAUCUAGAAUGACAAUUUGAAGCUUAUUAAGUAAAGCAUUUCAUUUACACUGAAAAGAUUAUUGUGCAAAUCAAUAUGAAUUGAUAUUAUAUAAUUAUUUAUUAUAUUUUUUUUUUAUUUUAUUAUUAGAAAUAACUAUUAUGUUAGGUUUAAGUAUUGUAUAAAGAAAUAAUAAUUUUAAUUAUAGUUUAUUAGUAAUUUGAAUGAACUUUGAAAUAAUUGAAAAAUAUAUAGCUAAAAAGAAAAUUUAAUUUAUUG